RNAcentral lists this ribosomal RNA (1631 nucleotides) under Escherichia coli BWH 32. RNAcentral describes it as "bacterial LSU rRNA". It matches the Rfam family "Bacterial large subunit ribosomal RNA", at positions 1314 to 2925 of the family's 2925-position model. The record is from RNAcentral. Lineage: Bacteria; Pseudomonadati; Pseudomonadota; Gammaproteobacteria; Enterobacterales; Enterobacteriaceae.
AAAGCGGGUGAAAAGCCCGCUCGCCGGAAGACCAAGGGUUCCUGUCCAACGUUAAUCGGGGCAGGGUGAGUCGACCCCUAAGGCGAGGCCGAAAGGCGUAGUCGAUGGGAAACAGGUUAAUAUUCCUGUACUUGGUGUUACUGCGAAGGGGGGACGGAGAAGGCUAUGUUGGCCGGGCGACGGUUGUCCCGGUUUAAGCGUGUAGGCUGGUUUUCCAGGCAAAUCCGGAAAAUCAAGGCUGAGGCGUGAUGACGAGGCACUACGGUGCUGAAGCAACAAAUGCCCUGCUUCCAGGAAAAGCCUCUAAGCAUCAGGUAACAUCAAAUCGUACCCCAAACCGACACAGGUGGUCAGGUAGAGAAUACCAAGGCGCUUGAGAGAACUCGGGUGAAGGAACUAGGCAAAAUGGUGCCGUAACUUCGGGAGAAGGCACGCUGAUAUGUAGGUGAAGCGACUUGCUCGUGGAGCUGAAAUCAGUCGAAGAUACCAGCUGGCUGCAACUGUUUAUUAAAAACACAGCACUGUGCAAACACGAAAGUGGACGUAUACGGUGUGACGCCUGCCCGGUGCCGGAAGGUUAAUUGAUGGGGUCAGCGCAAGCGAAGCUCUUGAUCGAAGCCCCGGUAAACGGCGGCCGUAACUAUAACGGUCCUAAGGUAGCGAAAUUCCUUGUCGGGUAAGUUCCGACCUGCACGAAUGGCGUAAUGAUGGCCAGGCUGUCUCCACCCGAGACUCAGUGAAAUUGAACUCGCUGUGAAGAUGCAGUGUACCCGCGGCAAGACGGAAAGACCCCGUGAACCUUUACUAUAGCUUGACACUGAACAUUGAGCCUUGAUGUGUAGGAUAGGUGGGAGGCUUAGAAGUGUGGACGCCAGUCUGCAUGGAGCCGACCUUGAAAUACCACCCUUUAAUGUUUGAUGUUCUAACGUUGACCCGUGAUCCGGGUUGCGGACAGUGUCUGGUGGGUAGUUUGACUGGGGCGGUCUCCUCCUAAAGAGUAACGGAGGAGCACGAAGGUUGGCUAAUCCUGGUCGGACAUCAGGAGGUUAGUGCAAUGGCAUAAGCCAGCUUGACUGCGAGCGUGACGGCGCGAGCAGGUGCGAAAGCAGGUCAUAGUGAUCCGGUGGUUCUGAAUGGAAGGGCCAUCGCUCAACGGAUAAAAGGUACUCCGGGGAUAACAGGCUGAUACCGCCCAAGAGUUCAUAUCGACGGCGGUGUUUGGCACCUCGAUGUCGGCUCAUCACAUCCUGGGGCUGAAGUAGGUCCCAAGGGUAUGGCUGUUCGCCAUUUAAAGUGGUACGCGAGCUGGGUUUAGAACGUCGUGAGACAGUUCGGUCCCUAUCUGCCGUGGGCGCUGGAGAACUGAGGGGGGCUGCUCCUAGUACGAGAGGACCGGAGUGGACGCAUCACUGGUGUUCGGGUUGUCAUGCCAAUGGCACUGCCCGGUAGCUAAAUGCGGAAGAGAUAAGUGCUGAAAGCAUCUAAGCACGAAACUUGCCCCGAGAUGAGUUCUCCCUGACCCUUUAAGGGUCCUGAAGGAACGUUGAAGACGACGACGUUGAUAGGCCGGGUGUGUAAGCGCAGCGAUGCGUUGAGCUAACCGGUACUAAUGAACCGUGAGGCUUAACCUU